Molecule: small nucleolar RNA, 78 nt
Organism: Talpa occidentalis (Iberian mole)
Lineage: Eukaryota; Metazoa; Chordata; Mammalia; Eulipotyphla; Talpidae
Product: small nucleolar RNA SNORA17
Exons: 1
Source: RefSeq, a predicted model, not a curated record
AUAAGUGGUAGAAAGAGAGAGGUUUGCCCAUAUUCAGUGUUCUGACAUGAAUAUCUGGAUGAUAAAUAAUCUGACACU